RNAcentral lists this ribosomal RNA (1309 nucleotides) under Epacanthaclisis banksi. RNAcentral's name for it is "16S ribosomal RNA". The stretch from base 544 to 1309 matches the Rfam family "Archaeal large subunit ribosomal RNA", at positions 1423 to 2838 of the family's 2987-position model. Lineage: Eukaryota; Metazoa; Arthropoda; Insecta; Neuroptera; Myrmeleontidae. The record is from RNAcentral.
UUAAGUAUAUAUUACUUUUUAGUAAAGUUUAUAUUUUUUAUAAUUGAAGUAAUUUUAAUUAAAUUAGUUUUUGUAUAUAUUAGAUUAAAUAAUUUUAGUAAUAGUUAAUUAGUACAGUGAUGGAAUUUUGAUAUAAUUAUUUUUAUUUAUAAAGUAAAAUUUAAUUUUUGUACCUUUUGUAUCAGGGUUUAUUUAAAUUUAAAUAUUAAUAUUAUAUUAUUCUCGAAUUUAAUAGAGCUAAAAUUUUAUGAAAUUUAUUGUUACAAAAAUAUUUUUAAUAAAAUUUUAGUAGUGAUACGUUAAUCGUUAUUAAAUAUAUCUAGUUUUUCAAGAAUUAUAUUUAAUUUAUUAAUUUUAGUUUCAUAAUUUUUUUUUAUUAAGUUAAUGAACUUUAAUUAAAAGGAUCUUAGGGAUAAGCUUGGGAUUUUUAAUUAUAAAUUUAUAAAGUUUUAUUAUAAUAAGUAGGAUUAGAAAUUUUCAUCUUUUUAUAAAGUGUUAUAAUUAAUUUUUUAUAUAAUAAAAUUUAUUUUAUUUUAAUUUUUUUAUUGAAAUAUUUUAUUUAAUUAUUUGAUAAUAGAAAUAAUGAUAAAAUUAGUAUUAUUUUUGGUAUAGAUAUAAUAUUUAUUUAGAUGAAAGUAAGGAAUUCGGCAAUAUUAUACUCGCCUGUUUAUCAAAAACAUGUCUUUUUGAUUAUAAUAUAAAGUCUGGCCUGCCCACUGAAUUUUAUUUAAGGGCCGCAGUAUUUUGACUGUGCAAAGGUAGCAUAAUCAUUUGCCUUUUAAUUAGAGGCUGGAAUGAAUGGUUGAACGAAGUAUAAGCUGUCUCAUUUUUAUAAAAGUAAGAAUUUAGCUUUUCAGUUAAAAGGCUGAAAUUUUAUUAGAGGACGAGAAGACCCUAUAGAACUUUAUAGAUUUUUUAUUAGAAAAUUAUAGAUUAAAAUUUUUUUUUUAAUAAAUUGUUUAUUUUGUUGGGGUGACAGGAAGAUAUAUUUAACUCUUUUAAAAAUUUAACAUUAAUUAAUGAAAUUUUGAUCCAUUAUUAUUGAUUAUUAGAAUAAGUUACCUUAGGGAUAACAGCGUGAUUUUAUUGGAGAGUUCUUAUUGAUAAUAAAGUUUGCGACCUCGAUGUUGAAUUAAAGAAGUUCUUGAGUGCAGAAGCUUGAGUUAAUAGGUCUGUUCGACCUUUAAAUCUUUACAUGAUUUGAGUUCAGACCGGCGUGAGCCAGGUCGGUUUCUAUCCUUAAUUUGAUAUUAUGAUUUAGUACGAAAGGACCAAUUAUAAAAAAAAUUUUUUUAUGUCGAAUAAAAUU